Molecule: transfer RNA, 56 nt
Filed under: Longicollum sp. (in: thorny-headed worms)
Lineage: Eukaryota; Metazoa; Acanthocephala; Palaeacanthocephala; Echinorhynchida; Pomphorhynchidae
Description: tRNA-Ser
Source: RNAcentral
GGAGAGUAAGAGAGGACUACUAAUCCUUGUGACUUGUUUAGGAGCAGGGCUCUUUG